RNAcentral lists this long non-coding RNA (1587 nucleotides) under Homo sapiens (human). Its description in RNAcentral is "HSALNT0101362". Lineage: Eukaryota; Metazoa; Chordata; Mammalia; Primates; Hominidae. The record is from RNAcentral.
CUGCCUCACAAAGUGCUGGGAUUAUAGGUGUGAGCUACUGUGCCCAGCCUUUCAGAUUCAUUUUCAAAAAGUUCUAAUUCCUUCUUGUUAUUCACGGAAAAGAAAUCAGGUUUUGUUUGCCUUACUAUUAUUUACAAUAUAGACAAUAGUUUUAAUACUGUGGGAAUGAAGCACUUGAGUAUUUUUUGUCUUUUGAAUGUCAGUGAGUUCUAUUUUCAGAAAUUUGGCAUGGGUUCAGCAUAAAUUUAUGUGACAUAUAUUUAGUGAUUAAGACAAAAAGAAUAGCACUCACUGACAUUGCUAAAUAAAAAUUUUCCAGUACUACCAAUAUAAUUUAUCUUGUUUAUUAUAGCUUUAAGAAUUUUUCUAGAAAACUGAAGAUAGCAGAGAAUUAACACAACUCUAAAAUAUCCUGAAAACUAAUUUUUGCUUAUAUGAUUGAGAAAAUUAUCUUCACAUUUCACAUUGCAGACUCUGUCUACCUUCAGUGAAAUAUUUUUGGCUUAGAAAACUAGUGUCUAGAACACAUUAGGUUUCAGAAACAGUUUUUUGGCACUUCUGUAAGAAACUCCACUCAACUUAUUGUGAAAUUGUAUUAAGUAAAUUAAGUGAAAAUUGUUUAGUAAGUAUUCAAUAUUGUGUUAGGUGGUAUAGCUAUUAAGGGAAAAAAAGAUGAGUUGUGGCCUUUGCCCUCACUUGUCUGAUAAAAUAGUUGAGAAGAGACGUAAAGCAACAAUUAAUAAAACAGGACAGCUCAGAGUAAUGUGUAUGCUGAUUUUUAGAAGUUCUGAGAUGAGAGAGAGAAAGAUGGAGCAAAUAUAAACAUAGAAGCUAAGAACAGAGGACACGGAGAGAGCAAGUUCAUCCUGCAUUUCUGACCACUUUUCUGUUAUUCUUUCCUUGAGGCUCCACUGAAAUGAAUGAAACCUGAAAUGGUAGAGAAAACUGCAUAGAAGAGGAGUUAUUUGUGUAUAUUUAAACACAGAAAAUAAAUAAGAUCUCCAAGGAGAGGAAAAUAGCUAAAGAAUUGGGAGAUGAUAUGAUAUCUUCAUCGAAGACCAAAUCUGGUGCAAAUGAAAGAUUUCAAGAGAUGUGACUGUAAAGUAAAAUAUUUUUAGUUAUGUAGUAUUUUACUUUAUAGUCACAUUUGUAUCAUUUAUAAUUCCCAGUUGAUAUUACCCUUCAGAGAAGACACUCUGGAAGGUAUGACUCUUAUUCUAAUGUUGUUACCAUUAGCUCAAAUACUUUUGAAUUUUCUUCAAAACCAGGUUAUGAAUUACUCAGACAAAAGUUUUACCUCUUAAGAUACACCUCAGUUUUGAUCAAAAUAAAUAUUUCCCAGGCUGGUCACUUAACUGACACAACACCAAACAACUUCUGACUAUAUCCAAACACCAAAUCUACCCUCACAUUAUACACAUUAGCACCAUUGAGGGCUUUUUUAAAAAUGGGCCAAAUAUUUAUCAAAGCUGUUUUUAAAUACCUAAAUAUGAAAAACAAAAUUCUGAUUUUAAAUGGAAAAUCAACCUUGUUGGCUUAAAUUCCCAAUGACUUCAAACCAGGCAAGCUUUUCAAUAUAAGUUUUUU